GAGAGACAAAGAAAGAAAGAAAGAGGAGGAUGCAAAAUCAAGUACUUCAAUAAGAAUACUUUUUUCUGCUUUUAAUAGAGUAACUAAAAGGUUUCCCAGAGAUUAGAGAUUGUAAAUCAGAAACGACAAAGAACUGCUAUGAUUUCCCAUUUAGUGCUCCUCUAACCUGAUUAGAGAUUGUAAUUUAAUAAGAAUUUCUCAAGUUUAGGAGUAGUAGUACGUAAAGAAAGUUGGACAUAUGGUAAGUCUUGACUCUUGAGAAACUGCUAGAGCAUGGCCUUCUGAAAAUAUUUCUUAAAUUUUUCAACAAAUUACCAACAACAAACCAAUAGCAGUUUAGUAAGAAUUUUGAGUACAGCCAGUACGUAAUCAUAUUCUCCAUGGACCAUGGUUACACUAUAUUAUUGAUAAAAGGAAAUUGCAAUUCAUAUAGCGUAUAUGAGGUAAAAGUAGGCAGAGAAGUCCAGUGAGCGAUCUAGAGUAUAAAAGCACAAAGGUAAACACAACAGGGAAACAAAUAUACAAACAAGAUUGACAAUUGCAGAAUACCUGAACUCAAUCUUGCUUGCAUU
Molecule: unclassified non-coding RNA, 572 nt
Filed under: Hevea brasiliensis (rubber tree)
Lineage: Eukaryota; Viridiplantae; Streptophyta; Magnoliopsida; Malpighiales; Euphorbiaceae
Source: RNAcentral